AAUUAAAAAAGAUUUGAAUUUCAGAUUUAAAAAAAAGAUGGAUAAGGAGUUUUUCAAGCAUAUCACUCCUCUCCCCAAGACUCUGACCUGUGGAUUCUCUCUUGAACACUACCCCUACAACCCAGGCUUCUUAAUAUUGCUGGUUUGAAGCCAUCCUGUGUAAGAGGGAAGAUCCAAGUGCUCAUCUGGCCCUAGAAAUAAGGCUCUGGGUUCUGAGCCUGAAUCUCCAGAACACAGGAGCUAUGUGGAGAGUUGAUGGAGGGACAUUCCAGGCAGAGAGAACAGCAAACACAAAGGCCUUGAAGGGAGCGGUGGCUUACAUCUGCAAUCCCACCACUUUGGGAGGCUGAGGCAGGUGGAUUGCUUGAUCUCAGGAGUUCGAGACCAGCCUGGGCAAUGUGGUGAAACCCAGUCUCUACCAAAAAAUACAAAAAUUAGCCGGGCAUGGUGAGCAUGCCUCUGGUCCCAGCUACCCAGGAGGCUGAGGUGGGAGAAUCACUUGAGCCUAGAAGGUCAAGGCUGCAGUGAGCCGUGAUUGAGCCACUGCAUUCCAGCCUGGGUGAUAGGGCUCAACACCACAUGGAAGCUGCCAAGGCUUGGGGCUCGCACCAUCUGAAGACAUGGUCUGAACUCUACGUUGGCCCUUUCAGCCAUGGCUGGAGCAGCUGGAACGCAGGGCAUCAAGUCUCUUGGCUGCACACAGCUCAGGGAAGCUGGACCUGGCCCAUGAAACCACUUUUUCUUCCUAUGCCUCCAGACCUGUGAUGGGAGGAGCUGCCAUGAAGACCUCUGACAUGCCCUAGAAACAUUUUCCCCAUUGUCUUAGGGAUUAACAUUCUGUGCCUUGUUGCUUAAGUAAAUUUCUGCCUCAUUGUCAGGCUGCAAAUUUUC
RNAcentral lists this long non-coding RNA (891 nucleotides) under Homo sapiens (human). Its description in RNAcentral is "HSALNT0347438". Lineage: Eukaryota; Metazoa; Chordata; Mammalia; Primates; Hominidae. The record is from RNAcentral.